Molecule: long non-coding RNA, 803 nt
Organism: Mastomys coucha (southern multimammate mouse)
Lineage: Eukaryota; Metazoa; Chordata; Mammalia; Rodentia; Muridae
Exons: 2
Source: RefSeq, a predicted model, not a curated record
GGACUGCUCGAUCUGUCUGGCUGGGCUAGAAGGCAGAGGGAGAACAGGUAGCCAGGUGCUGAGCAGGGUGGAGCACCUGUUCUUUGGCUGGCCAAUUGCCACGGGUGUUCACAGAUGGCUGUGGGGGGUUCAAUUAAAUGGGUUUGGGUGAGGGUGGCAAGGUCUUUUGCAGAGUCCUGGGACUGGGCAUCAGUGGAGGGGAAGAAAGGAGAACUCUCCUCCUCCAAAGUGGAAAUAAGGGCUGUUGUCAAGUUGGCCCUUCUCCUCUGGGGUCUGGAUGAGAACUUUGCCCAGCACCUCAGGGCUGCCUGUGCUUUCCCAUCAUCCUCCUUUCUCAGCAGGUGAGGAUGGGCCUUUCUCCCUGGAGUCCAGCACUGCAAUUUCCCAUCAUCCUCCUUUCUCAGCAGGUGAGGAUGGGCCUUUCUCCCUGGAGUCCAGCACUGCGAUUUCCCAUCAUCCUCCUUUCUCAACAGGUGAGGAUGGGCCUUUCUCCCUGGAGUCCAGCACUGCGAUUUCCCAUCAUCCUCCUUUCUCAGCAGGUGAGGAUGGGCCUUUCUCCCUGGAGUCCAGCACUGAGGUGAUUUACAAGUCGCAGUUGAAUACUUGACUUUCCCUUCUUGAGUGUCCUGGAUACCAUACGCCUGGAUUCUGACCCUGGGCUCAAGCCUGGUCUUUUCUACAGUGCCUUCCCUCCUGCAAAGAUGAUUCUAUGACUACUCGGGCUAGCCAGGUUGAAUGUAGAAGCUGAUAAAGAGUCCAACUGGCUUCUGUUAAAUCCAACAUUAAAGAGCUUUGGAAAGCAG